This is an RNA transcript of Hemicordylus capensis (graceful crag lizard), 1665 nucleotides long. It is a transcript of the gene named WASP homolog-associated protein with actin, membranes and microtubules-like, with no coding region annotated. Lineage: Eukaryota; Metazoa; Chordata; Lepidosauria; Squamata; Cordylidae. The record is from RefSeq and is a predicted model, not a curated record. The transcript is spliced from 7 exons.
AAUGUCAGCGUUGCUUUCACCCAUUGGGUUGCCCCCUUUAACUUGGCAAGUUCUGGACAGGCCAGCCAUUCCUCAUGUCAACAGAACAAACUGAGUCGGGUGUUGUGCUUUCUCUUACUGGGACCACAGAAUAAUCACAGACAUUUCUCCUUCUCUGGGAGAAGCGAAGACAGCCCUGCCAGUGGCCCUUCUCAGCUGUUUCCAGGGCUAAAGACAAGCAGAAGACACUGAGGAGCCAUGGCUUGCUCCACCUCCCUGGAUGUUGUAUGGAAGACAUACUAGUAAAAGAGACCCGAAAGAAUGUGGGAUGAAGAUGAAGAGGGGGCACUGACAGGUCAUCCCAGAAACCCAACCCAUGUUGCACCAUUUUCUGGGGGACUCCCCAAUGUUUUGGGGGACACUCUGGGGAAAGAGCUCACUGAGGAACCCUCCGUGCCAGAACCCCUUCCAGCACCUCGCAUCACCAACAACAUCCUGGGCGAAGUGCUCAUUGAGGAAACCUCAAUUCCAGGGCCCCUUCCAACACCUUGCAUCACCAAUGACCUACUGGGGAAAGUGCUCAUUGAGGCUACCUCAGUGCCAGGUCCUUCCAUCCUCACAGACACUCCAAAGGAAGCAGCUUCUGUGUCAGAGCCCUUACCAGAGCCUUCCAUUGCUGAUAAUUAUCUUCAGCAAGAAGUAGAACUCCCCAAAGGGUUACAGCAUGACUAUGUCCAGCAGCAUAAGUAUUGCGACACCUCAGAAACCUUUUGCAUAUACACCCAGCACAAAGAUCAGCUGCAGUUUUGAUACCCAGCCCAGAUGAUGGACUAAGCCCUAACACUGCCCUUUUUGCAAGUCACCAGUACUCAGCCUGGUCAGCACAUACAACAUUUGUUCCUUUUUGCUCUCUUUGUUGCAGAACUGAGGCUUCGCCGCAUUUCCCAACAGUUCCCUCGUUCUCUCCGGGCCAUCAACCUGCAAAUUGGACACAUGCAGACAAGGCUCAUCCGCAGUGAAGUUCGGCUGCAGCAGUGGGAAAGGGAAGAUGUUCCUGCAGGCCCUGCUGCACUUCUCCAGCCCUCUGGGUCUGAUUCAUCAUUGUCCUCUGCCUCCCUGGAGGUUGCCUCCAUCCCACCCUCCACCUCCACCUCUUCCCUCCUCCUGCAUCCCUCUCCACCUCCUCCUCCUUCCCCACCUCCUCUGGAGCCGGACCUCAGCAACGUGAAAGAAACUCUGCAGAGUUUGGUAGAGAUGCAAGUCCAUCAGCUGCGUGACCGCCAAAGAGACAUCCGCAGCUGCCAGGAAUGCUCACAAAGCUUCAAGGCACUGAGGGGACAGUUGAGGCAGCUAAGGAGCAGACUGGCCAGGGUGGAAGUCACUAUGGGGAUCGUGGUUCCUCCAAGGGAGCUGGACGUUGCUGAGGAAGAAGGGGAAGGCAAAUUAAAAGAGAUAACUGUGCUACUAUUUACAUAAGUAGCAAUAAAAUGCUGUGUAUAUAUUUUUAAAAUAUUAAAUAUUUGUUUUAAUAGGAUGUAGAGAUAGAACAGCAAUAAAACUUGCAUAUUUAUUGUUUUAAAAAAUAAAAUGUUUUAUUUUAAAGAAAAUACAUUUGUCUUGCUUUGAAUAUUCUUUGGGUAGAGUUGGGUAAAAAGGUCUUUGGGUCAAACUCAGCUACAGAAAAGA